Molecule: ribosomal RNA, 589 nt
Filed under: uncultured bacterium
Lineage: Bacteria
Description: partial 16S ribosomal RNA
Rfam family: Bacterial small subunit ribosomal RNA
Source: RNAcentral
UGGGGAACAUUGGACAAUGGGGGCAACCCUGAUCCAGCCAUGCCGCGUGUGUGAAGAAGGCCUUUCGGUUGUAAAGCACUUUAAGCAGGGAGGAGAGGCUAAUGGUUAAUACCCAUUAGAUUAGACGUUACCUGCAGAAUAAGCACCGGCUAACUCUGUGCCAGCAGCCGCGGUAAUACAGAGGGUGCGAGCGUUAAUCGGAAUUACUGGGCGUAAAGCGAGUGUAGGUGGCUCAUUAAGUCACAUGUGAAAUCCCCGGGCUUAACCUGGGAACUGCAUGUGAUACUGGUGGUGCUAGAAUAUGUGAGAGGGAAGUAGAAUUCCAGGUGUAGCGGUGAAAUGCGUAGAGAUCUGGAGGAAUACCGAUGGCGAAGGCAGCUUCCUGGCAUAAUAUUGACACUGAGAUUCGAAAGCGUGGGUAGCAAACAGGAUUAGAUACCCUGGUAGUCCACGCCGUAAAACGAUGUCUACUAGCCGUUGGGGUCCUUGAGACUUUAGUGGCGCAGUUAACGCGAUAAGUAGACCGCCUGGGGAGUACGGCCGCAAGGUUAAAACUUAAAUGAAUUGACGGGGUCAUAGCUGUUUCCUG